Molecule: unclassified non-coding RNA, 391 nt
Filed under: Hevea brasiliensis (rubber tree)
Lineage: Eukaryota; Viridiplantae; Streptophyta; Magnoliopsida; Malpighiales; Euphorbiaceae
Source: RNAcentral
GAGCUUGGCAAAUUAGUGGUUACAAGUAGAACUAGUAUUCUAUGCAUCUUAAUGUUACUGGCACAUCUGUUGGAAUUUUGGAGUCCAGAAGUUGAAAAAUCAAUUGUCACUUUUUUGAACUGCUCUCGGGCUAUGCCAUUGCAUGUUAGUGAAAGGACUUAGUACUUGUGAAGACUUAGGAAAUAAAAACAAGUUUCUGGUUGAUAUGGGCAGUCAGUUUGAAUCUUUUUGUACUGAAUUGAGACUUGAAGCUAUCCUUAGCAUGAAUGAGUUCAUCUCUAGCACACUCCAUCUGAAGUUAAUUUGUUCGUAACAUAAAUUAUUAAAAACUUACCACUCUUGAAUUAGUUACAUUAGUUGAUGUUCAUAUACUAGGCAUAGUAUUUAUCUG